UGGGGGAUAAUGCACAAUGGGCGAAAGCCUGAUGCAGCGACGCCGCGUGGGGGAUGAAGGCUUUCGGGUUGUAAACCUCUUUCGCUAUCGAACAAGGCCCGCUUAGGGUGGGUUGAGGGUAGGUGGAGAAGAAGCGCCGGCUAACUACGUGCGAGCAGCCGCGGUAAUACGUAGGGCGCGAGCGUUGUCCGGAAUUAUUGGGCGUAAAGGGCUUGUAGGCGGCUUGUUGCGCCUGCUGUGAAAACGCGGGGCUUAACUUCGCGCGUGCAGUGGGUACGGGCAGGCUUGAGUGUGGUAGGGGUGACUGGAAUUCCAGGUGUAGCGGUGGAAUGCGCAGAUAUCUGGAGGAACACCGAUGGCGAAGGCAGGUCACUGGGCCAUUACUGACGCUGAGGAGCGAAAGCAUGGGUAGCGAACAGG
This 420-nucleotide ribosomal RNA is filed under the name bacterium. RNAcentral's name for it is "partial 16S ribosomal RNA". It matches the Rfam family "Bacterial small subunit ribosomal RNA", at positions 355 to 776 of the family's 1533-position model. The record is from RNAcentral.